AUAAUGGGUCAGCGACUUAUAUUCUGUAGCAAGGUUAACCGAAUAGGGGAGCCGAAGGGAAACCGAGUCUUAACUGGGCGUUAAGUUGCAGGGUAUAGACCCGAAACCCGGUGAUCUAGCCAUGGGCAGGUUGAAGGUUGGGUAACACUAACUGGAGGACCGAACCGACUAAUGUUGAAAAAUUAGCGGAUGACUUGUGGCUGGGGGUGAAAGGCCAAUCAAACCGGGAGAUAGCUGGUUCUCCCCGAAAGCUAUUUAGGUAGCGCCUCGUGAAUUCAUCUCCGGGGGUAGAGCACUGUUUCGGCAAGGGGGUCAUCCCGACUUACCAACCCGAUGCAAACUGCGAAUACCGGAGAAUGUUAUCACGGGAGACACACGGCGGGUGCUAACGUCCGUCGUGAAGAGGGAAACAACCCAGACCGCCAGCUAAGGUCCCAAAGUCAUGGUUAAGUGGGAAACGAUGUGGGAAGGCCCAGACAGCCAGGAUGUUGGCUUAGAAGCAGCCAUCAUUUAAAGAAAGCGUAAUAGCUCACUGGUCGAGUCGGCCUGCGCGGAAGAUGUAACGGGGCUAAACCAUGCACCGAAGCUGCGGCAGCGACACUGUGUGUUGUUGGGUAGGGGAGCGUUCUGUAAGCCUGCGAAGGUGUGCUGUGAGGCAUGCUGGAGGUAUCAGAAGUGCGAAUGCUGACAUAAGUAACGAUAAAGCGGGUGAAAAGCCCGCUCGCCGGAAGACCAAGGGUUCCUGUCCAACGUUAAUCGGGGCAGGGUGAGUCGACCCCUAAGGCGAGGCCGAAAGGCGUAGUCGAUGGGAAACAGGUUAAUAUUCCUGUACUUGGUGUUACUGCGAAGGGGGGACGGAGAAGGCUAUGUUGGCCGGGCGACGGUUGUCCCGGUUUAAGCGUGUAGGCUGGUUUUCCAGGCAAAUCCGGAAAAUCAAGGCUGAGGCGUGAUGACGAGGCACUACGGUGCUGAAGCAACAAAUGCCCUGCUUCCAGGAAAAGCCUCUAAGCAUCAGGUAACAUCAAAUCGUACCCCAAACCGACACAGGUGGUCAGGUAGAGAAUACCAAGGCGCUUGAGAGAACUCGGGUGAAGGAACUAGGCAAAAUGGUGCCGUAACUUCGGGAGAAGGCACGCUGAUAUGUAGGUGAAGUCCCUCGCGGAUGGAGCUGAAAUCAGUCGAAGAUACCAGCUGGCUGCAACUGUUUAUUAAAAACACAGCACUGUGCAAACACGAAAGUGGACGUAUACGGUGUGACGCCUGCCCGGUGCCGGAAGGUUAAUUGAUGGGGUCAGCGCAAGCGAAGCUCUUGAUCGAAGCCCCGGUAAACGGCGGCCGUAACUAUAACGGUCCUAAGGUAGCGAAAUUCCUUGUCGGGUAAGUUCCGACCUGCACGAAUGGCGUAAUGAUGGCCAGGCUGUCUCCACCCGAGACUCAGUGAAAUUGAACUCGCUGUGAAGAUGCAGUGUACCCGCGGCAAGACGGAAAGACCCCGUGAACCUUUACUAUAGCUUGACACUGAACAUUGAGCCUUGAUGUGUAGGAUAGGUGGGAGGCUUUGAAGUGUGGACGCCAGUCUGCAUGGAGCCGGCCUUGAAAUACCACCCUUUAAUGUUUGAUGUUCUAACGUUGACCCGUGAUCCGGGUUGCGGACAGUGUCUGGUGGGUAGUUUGACUGGGGCGGUCUCCUCCUAAAGAGUAACGGAGGAGCACGAAGGUUGGCUAAUCCUGGUCGGACAUCAGGAGGUUAGUGCAAUGGCAUAAGCCAGCUUGACUGCGAGCGUGACGGCGCGAGCAGGUGCGAAAGCAGGUCAUAGUGAUCCGGUGGUUCUGAAUGGAAGGGCCAUCGCUCAACGGAUAAAAGGUACUCCGGGGAUAACAGGCUGAUACCGCCCAAGAGUUCAUAUCGACGGCGGUGUUUGGCACCUCGAUGUCGGCUCAUCACAUCCUGGGGCUGAAGUAGGUCCCAAGGGUAUGGCUGUUCGCCAUUUAAAGUGGUACGCGAGCUGGGUUUAGAACGUCGUGAGACAGUUCGGUCCCUAUCUGCCGUGGGCGCUGGAGAACUGAGGGGGGCUGCUCCUAGUACGAGAGGACCGGAGUGGACGCAUCACUGGUGUUCGGGUUGUCAUGCCAAUGGCACUGCCCGGUAGCUAAAUGCGGAAGAGAUAAGUGCUGAAAGCAUCUAAGCACGAAACUUGCCCCGAGAUGAGUUCUCCCUGACUCCUUGAGAGUCCUGAAGGAACGUUGAAGACGACGACGUUGAUAGGCCGGGUGUGUAAGCGCAGCGAUGCGUUGAGCUAACCGGUACUAAUGAACCGUGAGG
RNAcentral lists this ribosomal RNA (2323 nucleotides) under Escherichia coli. Its description in RNAcentral is "partial 23S ribosomal RNA". It matches the Rfam family "Bacterial large subunit ribosomal RNA", at positions 612 to 2915 of the family's 2925-position model. The record is from RNAcentral. Lineage: Bacteria; Pseudomonadati; Pseudomonadota; Gammaproteobacteria; Enterobacterales; Enterobacteriaceae.